This 241-nucleotide unclassified non-coding RNA is filed under the name Hevea brasiliensis (rubber tree). Lineage: Eukaryota; Viridiplantae; Streptophyta; Magnoliopsida; Malpighiales; Euphorbiaceae. The record is from RNAcentral.
UUGUAUGGAGUGGUUGUGUAGGGCAAGCAUGAAGUUAGUCCUUUCAUAAGAGUAGGCUAAGGACAUUGAUUGUAAACACCUAGCUUUGACAUGGUACUCAGUGUACUCUCUUGCCUAUUCUUUCCUAGAAAGCAAUUAUUCCUAUUGGGUGGCAAGAUACGACUUUGUGUGAUAACUACGUGAAUAGCUAAUUUGGAAUAGGAAAUUUUCAGUUUCACAAUAUCAGCAAUUUCAAUCUGAA